RNAcentral lists this long non-coding RNA (3186 nucleotides) under Cottoperca gobio. RNAcentral's name for it is "lncRNA (ENSCGOG00000015222.1)". Lineage: Eukaryota; Metazoa; Chordata; Actinopteri; Perciformes; Bovichtidae. The record is from RNAcentral.
UUUGUUGGAAAAUAGGAGUAAAUAUCUCUUUUAAUGUGAGUGUGUGAGUGUGUGAGAGUAUGAGAGAGAGAGAGAGAGAGAGAGAGAGAGAGAGAGAGAGAGAGAGAGAGAGAGAGAGAGAGAGAGAGAGAGAGAGAGAGAGAGAGAGAGAGAGAGAGAGAGAGAGAGAGAGAGAGAGAGAGAGAGAGACCAGAGUCCAGAGUCCAGCGUGCUCAACUUGCAGCGUCUCGGAUGGUUUGGUUUGGAUGUGUGCAUGGAUGUAAAGCCUGCUCCUCUCUUUCAGUGAAUGCAUAGAUGAUGAUAGAUCGUUCGGCUAAUUGAUACAGGAGGAUACAGCUGCUGGCACACAUUACAGUGUAAUUCCUGCUCGCGGUAUGGACGGGUUGCAGGCGGAAAAUCCUGGAGUUGGCGGCAUCCGGGGAAACGCGGAGGAGAGGUAUCGCGCUCUAGCCUAUGACACUGCUCUGAGCACUUUGGUGGCAGUGGCCGUGUAUGUGGUGGUGAAAGUGAGCCUGGACGGCAUCAGACAGUGGCGGGCCAGCAUCUCUGUGCUCAUCGUGGGUUCGGGACCUGUGGGGCUGACGGCCGCGCUGGUCGCUGUCCGCUCCGGUAAGGUGCUGAAACUGACCGUGCUAGAUGAGAGGUACCGGACUGCCCUGCUCUGCCGACCCCAGCAGAUCGCUCUGGAUCCCUGGAGUGUGAAGUUUCUGCUGGGACUCGGGGUGGACUUUGAUAACAUGGAGGGAUGUUGGCACAACGAGCAUUUCUUCACCAGGAUAGGCGUGUUUCAGGAGUACCUGCUGAGCAUCCUGGAGCAGAAGAAACAGAAGGUGGACGUCAAGGUGCUGCUGGGAACCAAGUUUACAGAGGAAUAUCUGCGACGUAUCCCUCGGAAUGAGUGGCCACGAGUGAUUGUGGUGGCUGAUGGGUCGUGUGGCGACUCCUGCUCGGUGCUGGGCAUCAGCUCUGACUACACUGUGGAGACCUGCCAUGCCUAUGGAGCUAAUGCAACUAUAGAGAGACCAGACCAGAGGCAGGUACCCACUCCUGAGAUCCGUGCCCACAGCCUCUAUUUCGACCUGUCCGCUUACGGAAUGGAGGCCCUCCGAGAGCACAGAAAUCCCACGGCCAAACCUGGCUUCCACCUGAAGAUCUAUGGCACGUUCAGAAACCGCUACAUGGCCCUCGUCUGCCACGCCUCUGACACCAAGAUGGUUCGCUUCCUCCGGCACACGGCCAACUCCUCUAUCAUGAAGAACAUUUUCCACCAGUCCUUCAAUGUCUAUAAGACGGACAUAGAGCCUCGUCUCAACGACGUGACGCUCCACCACAUGCAGUGCAGCCGUCGUCUUUUUGAGAUUCAGUUGUCACACAGACGCAUCAGCGCUGCCUACAUAGAGGGGGACAAUGUGGCUGUCACUGUAGAAGGGGAGGCAGCACGCGUCCUCAACUUCGACACAGGUUGUGGGGUGAAUCUUGGCAUGCGGGGUCUGGAGUCAAUGGGGACGUUCAUUUACCGGACAGCCACCGCUGUGGACCAGAAUGAUAUUCUAGAGGCACUGUCGGCUAAGAUGAAGCACUCCAGACAGAUGGCUGAGACCUUCAAGCAGACAGGCCUGGCUCAAUCAAUGUAUGAAUAAAACACGAGGACGACCUGGUGAAUGCACAAUGCCACCUAGUGGUGGAUUAUUUGUGUGUACAGUAUAUGUUUACAAUGAAUCAUGAGUCGGAUGCUGAAAUGGACCACUAAUGGUUACAUACUGAAUGGAGCGAGUGUGAGCAGUCACAAGAUGGAUAAUGGAUGUAAACAUGAGAGACCAUAAGUCUUUGUGACAUACAAUGAGCGGAUCUAUGGAUGGAGCGAGAAUAGUCAAGGACACAUUUGGUACAAUUUGCAGGUUGCAAAGCUUGUGAAUACAGCAAACUGUGGCGGAAAGAGAGAUAAUAUGAUCUUUUACUGUUGCAAUGACACAUUUCACUCUUUAUGAGAAUGUAGUGGAAAGAAAUCUAGCCCUAAGAGAUUAGGAGUAGUUGGACUAAAUGAAAAUUCAGUGAUCCUUGUCAUUUUCAUCACUGUAAUCUUCUCCUUUUAUUAGAGAAAAUAUUGUCUUGAUUUCCAAAAUCUAGCCAAUUGUGCAUUCUGGACAUCAAUGGUGCUAGAGGAAAUGAAACUGUGCCGUAGCAUCAUCAGCCAGAACUGAAUAAUGUGUAAUACGGUUAUUGUCCAUGAAUGAACAGAGGAACACACAUCAGGUGAAGUCCAAAGUGUUAUUAUGAAGCCUUUUGUCUUCAUGGUUGUUCGAUACAGUGGUGAUAAUUGUGGUGAUGAUGUUCUAAAGUAUUUGCUAGAGUGGCCUUUGUUUGUGUGGAGACUUUUUAGUGUAUUUCAAAAGGGUACUGCAACCAUACUAUGGGCCAACGGUCAUAUCACAAUUUCAUUUUUACUGGUGUCACAUUUUCACUCUCCUUUUUAUAUUGUGAUCCAAAAGUAUCAUCACAAAAACUAUGACUACUAAAAGUAUAUUAUUUCAGAUUAAUGACAGUAUGCUGAUAAUAUUGUCCUAAUUCUUUUGAAGUGCCAAUAAAGAUGCUGAUUUGGCAAGAGUGAUAUGGAUAGUCUUUACAUGAAACCCUUAAUUUAAUAAAUAGUAAAAGCAACCUAAAUGUAGUUGCUUGUCAGUGCUCUUACAAAUUGUGUUAAUGUAAAUAUAUAAUAGUAUACUACAAUGACAGCCUCAAACACAGACUUAUCUGUUCUGUCAGUAUCUAAAUACUCUGGAAGUAUCAACAUUUCUUACAAACUGCCUUGUGAAAAACUAACACUGUCUUCAUAGUGUGAGCUGCACACUAUGAAGACAGUGUUAGCACAUUGUUGCCGUAAUGGCUGAUAUGAGGCAGUACUGUCCUCUAGUGGUGCAACCUGUCAGUUGCAACACCUCUCACUCCUGUUUGUAUAAGAAGGAUGAUUCAUUUGGUAUUUAUUGUAUGAUUUGAGCAAUCCCUCAAAGAUUGCUGAAAUGAUUGCUAUAGUAAAGUUCACAGGUCACCAAUGGAACUGGCAGGACACACUAUCUCUCUCUUUGGAGGCUUUAUUAAUACAACGAUUGGGAAACUUAAAUGUUGUUUGUGAAACCCUUAUUUUAUUUUCAUUUUCUUUCCAGCACAAUAACUCCUCUCCUCUCCUCU